Molecule: ribosomal RNA, 433 nt
Filed under: uncultured bacterium
Lineage: Bacteria
Description: partial 16S ribosomal RNA
Rfam family: Bacterial small subunit ribosomal RNA
Source: RNAcentral
AACGAACGCUGGCGGCAUGCCUAACACAUGCAAGUCGAACGAGACCUUCGGGUCUAGUGGCGCACGGGUGCGUAACGCGUGGGAACCUGCCCUUAGGUUCGGAAUAACUCCCCGAAAGGGGUGCUAAUACCGGAUAAUGUCUUCGGACCAAAGAUUUAUCGCCUUUGGAUGGGCCCGCGUUGGAUUAGCUGGUUGGCAGGGUAAAAGCCUACCAAGGCGACGAUCCAUAGCUGGUCUGAGAGGAUGAUCAGCCACACUGGGACUGAGACACGGCCCAGACUCCUACGGGAGGCAGCAGUGGGGAAUAUUGGACAAUGGGCGAAAGCCUGAUCCAGCAAUGCCGCGUGAGUGAUGAAGGCCUUAGGGUUGUAAAGCUCUUUUACCCGGGAUGAUAAUGACAGUACCGGGAGAAUAAGCUCCGGCUAACUCCGUG